CGAGCGGUAGAGAUUCUUCGGAAUCUUGAGAGCGGCGCACGGGUGCGGAACACGUGUGCAACCUGCCUUUAUCUGGGAGAUAGCCUUUCGAAAGGAAGAUUAAUACCCCAUAAUAUAAGAAACGGCAUCGUUUUUUAUUGAAAGCUCCGGCGGAUAGAGAUGGGCACGCGCAAGAUUAGAUAGUUGGUGAGGUAACGGCUCACCAAGUCAAUGAUCUUUAGGGGGCCUGAGAGGGUGAUCCCCCACACUGGUACUGAGACACGGACCAGACUCCUACGGGAGGCAGCAGUGAGGAAUAUUGGACAAUGGGUGAGAGCCUGAUCCAGCCAUCCCGCGUGAAGGACGACGGCCCUAUGGGUUGUAAACUUCUUUUGUAUAGGGAUAAACCUACUCACGUGUGAGUAGCUGAAGGUACUAUACGAAUAAGCACCGGCUAACUCCGUGCCAGCAGCCGCGGUAAUACGGAGGGUGCAAGCGUUAUCCGGAUUUAUUGGGUUUAAAGGGUCCGUAGGCGGAUCUGUAAGUCAGUGGUGAAACUUAGGCUCAACCUGAGAACUGCCAUUGAAACUGAAUGACUAGAGUAUAUAUGAAGUUGGCGGAAUGUGUAGUGUAGCGGUGGAAUGCAUAGAUAUUACACAGAACACCAAUAGCGAAGGCAGUUGACUAAUAUAUAACUGACGCUGAUGGACGAAAGCGUGGGGAGCAAACAGGCUUAGAUACCCUGGUAGUCCACGCUGUAAACGAUGAUUACUCGAUGUUCGGUUCGAUUGCGAAUUGAGUGUCUAAGCGAAAGUGAUAAGUAAUCCACCUGGGGAGUACGUUCGCAAGAAUGAAACUCAAAGGAAUUGACGGGGGCCCGCACAAGCGGUGGAGCAUGUGGUUUAAUUCGAUGAUACGCGAGGAACCUUACCUAGUCUUAAAUGGGCAUUGAAUAAUUUAGAAAUAGAUUAGUCUUCGGACAAUGUUCAAGGUGCUGCAUGGUUGUCGUCAGCUCGUGCCGUGAGGUGUCAGGUUAAGUCCUAUAACGAGCGCAACCCCUACUCAUAGUUGCUACCAUUAAGUUGAGGACUCUAUGGGGACAGCCCGCGUAAGCGGUGAGGAAGGUGGGGAUGACGUCAAAUCAUCACGGCCCUUACGACUAGGGCUACACACGUGCUACAAUGGACGAUACAGAGGGUAGCUACAUAGUGAUAUGAUGCGAAUCUCCAAAGUCGUUCUCAGUUCGGAUCGCAGUCUGCAACUCGACUGCGUGAAGCUGGAAUCGCUAGUAAUCGCAAAUCAGCCAUGUUGCGGUGAAUACGUUCCCGGGCCUUGUACACACCGCCCGUCAAGCCAUGGAAGUUGGGAGUAUCUAAAGUCGGUAACCGCAAGGAGCCGCCUAGGGUAAGACUAGUAACUAGGGCUAAGUCGUAACAAGGUAGCCGUA
This 1426-nucleotide ribosomal RNA is filed under the name uncultured Chryseobacterium sp. Its description in RNAcentral is "16S ribosomal RNA". It matches the Rfam family "Bacterial small subunit ribosomal RNA". Lineage: Bacteria; Pseudomonadati; Bacteroidota; Flavobacteriia; Flavobacteriales; Weeksellaceae. The record is from RNAcentral.